RNAcentral lists this long non-coding RNA (2185 nucleotides) under Equus caballus (horse). RNAcentral describes it as "lncRNA (ENSECAG00000054962.1)". The record is from RNAcentral. Lineage: Eukaryota; Metazoa; Chordata; Mammalia; Perissodactyla; Equidae.
CCUGGCUCCCCUUGGUCUGCAACCCCCGCCCCGCUGCCCCGCGGACCCGGGGGUCUGCAGUGAGCGCCGCAAGAGGGCGGGGCCCGCGGACCCCUGACCGUCACUUCUCGGGGGGAGGGGGGCUUGCGCUGCCGCCGAUGGGGCCCUGGGGGACCCCGGACGGCGGUCCUUGCACUCGCCCGCCCGGCUCCCCGCGUCCGCGCUGCAGGGAGCGCCCCGCCUGGGCACGGCCGUGCCCGCCCGGAGGAGGGAGGAGGCCGGCGGCCGCGGGAACAAUGUGGUCGGUUGUUUUGCCGACUGUCAGCCUGGUUCCCGGAUCCUCCUUUCCACGCCCCUUGGCCUAACCGCCACAGGCCCGGCACGCAGAGGGAAGAGCCCCCUUAUUUGGUCUUGGAAAGAAAGGGGAAAGGUUAUCCUCAGAUGCCUGCGGCGUUGGGUCAUCGGCCCGCAGCGCUUGGCCCGCGCCCGGGCGCAGCGCCGUCUCCCGCCGGUAGGUGGCGGCGCCGGGCAGCGCCUCGCCGGCCGCCCGAGUGGUAAACAAGCCCGCAGGUUCCGGUACCUCCGCUCCGGGCUUCUUUUGUGUGCGCGCCGUGAGGGAGGGGCGGGAGGGCCGGCCGGGGGAGGCAGAAGCGCGCGAAAAGAAAAAACAAAGCCUUUUAUAUGGGAGAGACAAGCUUUCAAAAUCGGAAAGUCGGCUUCAGCGCGAGGGCGUGACUUUGCCGUGUCGGUUUCGUGUGAACCGUUUGCGAGCGCACGAGGGGAUGCGGGCAUCCGUGUUACGGUCAGCCGGGCAGUUGGGGUGCAAAUUCCGUGAGGAACAUUAAUAAGACGCUAUGAUGACAGGAAUUACCCUCGCCGUUUGACCCGGAGCUCGGAGAGGCUGAGGGCACACGGACAGGAAGUGGCAAAGCUGGGAUUUGAAUCCAAGUCCUUCACAGUUCGCAGGUGGAUGGAGCCCAAGGAACGUCACACCGUGCCACCAUCAUCUCAGGGACUGCCCUGUUUGGAGGGCAGCAGCACCCAGCCAUCCAGCGUGGAUUGAGGAACAGAGCUGUGCAUCCUUGGCCGUGCUCUGUAACCUCUGUGCUCCAGCUGUUGUCAGGAGUUAAUGAUUUGUUCGGGUGUGAAGGACUUAACACAGUGUCUGGCCCAUGAGGAGCACAGUAGGGACACCUCCCAGGAUUGUUGGGAGGAUUAAAUGAAAUAAUGCCUGUAAAUCCCUCAACCCUGGGCCUGGCACCCAGAAAGGGUUCAAUAAACGUCUGGUGAGCACUAUAAUCGGCUACCUCUUUUUGAGUGUCAGCUAUAUGCUACAAACUGUUUAAGGCUCUUUACAUACGCGCUUGAAUCCUUAUGGAAAACCUAGGAUGUAGAUAAAAUUAUUCCAGUACAGGGACUUUGGAAUUAGGUGAGUUAAGUAAAAUUACCCGAGGUCACACAGCUAGUAUGUGGCAGCCCCAAGAUCUGGCUGGCUCCAACGUGUGUGCCCUUUUGAUUAUGGGCAGCCUGGGAGGAAAGAAGAAAUUAUAAACAGUCCUAUGUGGUGGGCUGAAGGGUCUUCAUGGGAGAGGGGGUCAUAACUGCCUCCUCAUUAUGAAUAACUUGCUAUUAUCCCUGUGUCUUUGGGGUGGCUCUGGAAGACAGUGACAUAAGGCUGAUUACAUAUGCAGAUAUAAGAACCAGUGGACUACAGCCACCUUUGGGUCUCCUGACUGUUGUCUGCCUAAAUUCCAAAAGCCUCCUGGGGCCCUUUCAAGCCCAGGCUAGAGAUGGCUCUAUGUACUGGUUAGGAUUCUUUCUGUUUUUGCAAAAGUCAGAAACUCUACUCAAACUGGUUUAAGCGAAAAAGAGGUAUAAUAAGCUCAUGCAACUGAUAAUGGAAAGGUAUGGCUUCAGGCAUAGCUUGAUCCAGGAGUUUCAACAAUAUUAUCUGGACUUAGCCUUAUCCACAGCUCAGCUCUAGUUUCCUCCAGAUCGGCUUUAUUCUCAGAUCGGCUCUCUCACUGACGCUUUUUGGCCCUCAUUGGCCAGGCCUAGGAAAACUUGAGUCCUUAAAAGAAAAAUCAUGGUUCUCUUGUUAAAAGAGGCUAGGGAUGCUAAGCAGGCAAGAACAACGGAUGCCCACUCCACCCUGCUGAUAUAACACCAUCAAUCAGGAAGAUGGAGAGAAAAGACUUUAAUUGUG